UUCCGGUUGAUCCCGCCGGAGGUUACUGCUAUCGAGGUUCGACUAAGCCAUGCGAGUCGAAUGUAGCAAUACAUGGCGUACUGCUCAGUAACACGUGGAUAACCUACCCUUGAGAUGGGAAUAAACCCGGGAAACUGGGUAUAAUACCCGAUAGAUCUCGACUGCUGGAAUGCAUCGAGAUCCAAAGCUCCGGCGCUCAAGGAUGGAUCUGCGGCCUAUCAGGUAGUAGUGGGUGUAGUGUACCUACUAGCCUACGACGGGUACGGGUUGUGAGAGCAAGAGCCCGGAGAUGGAUUCUGAGACACGAAUCCAGGCCCUACGGGGUGCAGCAGGCGCGAAAACUUUACAAUGCUGGAAACAGCGAUAAGGGGACCUCGAGUGCCAGGUUACAAAUCUGGCUGUCGUGAUGCCUAAAAAGCAUUGCAUAGCAAGGGCCGGGCAAGACCGGUGCCAGCCGCCGCGGUAACACCGGCGGCUCGAGUGGUAACCGUUAUUAUUGGGUCUAAAGGGUCUGUAGCCGGCCGGAUAAGUCUCCUGGGAAAUCUGGCAGCUUAACUGUCAGGCUUUCAGGAGAUACCGUCUGGCUCGAGGCCGGGAGAGGUGAGAGGUACUUCAGGGGUAGGGGUGAAAUCUUGUAACCCUUGAAGGACCACCAGUGGCGAAGGCGUCUCACCAGAACGGACCUGACGGCAAGGGACGAAAGCUAGGGGCACGAACCGGAUUAGAUACCCGGGUAGUCCUAGCCGUAAACGAUACUCGCUAGGUGUCGGCAACGGUGCGACCGUUGUCGGUGCCGUAGGGAAGCCGCGAAGUGAGCCACCUGGGAAGUACGGCCGCAAGGCUGAAACUUAAAGGAAUUGGCGGGGGAGCACCACAACGGGUGGAGCUUGCGGUUUAAUUGGAUUCAACGCCGGAA
This 916-nucleotide ribosomal RNA is filed under the name uncultured archaeon. RNAcentral's name for it is "bacterial SSU rRNA". It matches the Rfam family "Archaeal small subunit ribosomal RNA", at positions 1 to 923 of the family's 1478-position model. The record is from RNAcentral.